Molecule: long non-coding RNA, 1134 nt
Organism: Anguilla rostrata (American eel)
Lineage: Eukaryota; Metazoa; Chordata; Actinopteri; Anguilliformes; Anguillidae
Exons: 3
Source: RefSeq, a predicted model, not a curated record
AUAAUGAGCCUUUAAAAAGUUUUUAUUUUUAUUUUUAACGCGCACAAUUAAAUAAAUACGGUUGCAUGUCCUUUUGGGAAACCAGCAGAAGUGUGUUGGAGUAGUGGGGGUGGGGGUGUGCAGUAAAGGAAGACGGCAAUGCCAGAGAGAGAGAGAGAGAUUGUAGUAAUAAUAAUAAAUCACUUCUGAAAUUCCUACAUGACACAUGCCUUCUGUGGUACAAAUGACUUGCCCCAUCUUUCAAUGAUUAUUUUUAUACUGUGUUUGACACACACUUCUGGAAACGUCUUCUUGUUUUACUUCGUCAGCAGAGCUCCCAGGCGCAAGUGCCUUACAUAUCUAUAAAUACUACAGAGCUAAAUGGCAUUUUCUCACCCACCCCAUCCCCAUCCCCCCAUGGGAGUCAUGAGUUCUGACUUGGCAAGAUGCUAAACUUUUUUUCUUCUGCUUUUUCUAACCGAGCAACAGCUGUCUAAAAAAUAGAUCCACCUGGCUCUGUCUUGCACAAAAUAAAUUCUGAAAUAAAGCCGUACAAUUAGUUAUCCUUAAUUAACUUGCAAAAAAAAAAGGGAAAGGAAACUAUCUGAUGGUCUUUCCACUCCUGGCAGAUUGACAUUUCCACCCGUGGUUUAAUAAUUGUUCGUGUGGAUCUUCCUGACGAGUGUCUUUUCCCCAUGACAUUUGGAGACGAUAAUCCCUGCUGUGCAAGAAAGAGUCUGAACAGACCAGGAUGUGAUACAACAUCCGUUCCUUCCACGAAUGACGGCAAUACACAGAGAAAACAAGCCCCAAGUGCUUAGUGUUCGGGGUCUGUGAUGCACUGCAAAGGGCAGAGAGCAAAUGGUUUCCGCAGCGAGGAAAACCUGUUCCCAACAUCUCCGCUCAUUUCCGCGGUGUGCUUGGACGAAACUUCAAGCUUUUUACCGCGUUAACUGGCGUCUCUGCAAGGGACGUCGUUCUCAACGGUCUUCAGAGCAGCCCAGGCAGCAAGAUUCACGCACGAGGAAGGGAUUCUGUGAGAUGACAAAUCUUUUGAAUUGUUUUUAAUGUUUUUGUGGAAUGUUUGAAAGUCUAUGUUGGUUACAUAUUUGGUCAUUUUUAUGGAUAAAGCAAGUUUGGUUUGAUAUUGAAAUC